UCGAGAAUCAUUCACAAUGGGCGAAAGCCUGAUGGUGCGACGCCGCGUGGAGGACGAAGGCCCUAGGGUCGUAAACUCCUGUCAUCAGGGAGUAAGGGGCUUUAUAGUAACUGCUAAAGCUAUUGAUAGUACCUGAAGAGGAAGGGACGGCUAACUUCGUGCCAGCAGCCGCGGUAAUACGAAGGUCCCGAGCGUUGUUCGGAUUUACUGGGCGAAAAGAGUCUGUAGUCGGUAACGGAAGUCAGGGGU
This 249-nucleotide ribosomal RNA is filed under the name uncultured Verrucomicrobium sp. Its description in RNAcentral is "partial 16S ribosomal RNA". It matches the Rfam family "Bacterial small subunit ribosomal RNA", at positions 355 to 595 of the family's 1533-position model. The record is from RNAcentral. Lineage: Bacteria; Pseudomonadati; Verrucomicrobiota; Verrucomicrobiia; Verrucomicrobiales; Verrucomicrobiaceae.